UCCUAAUGCAUGUAAUACUGUUUGGAAUUGGCACUCUAAUGGAUUCAGUUACAUGAUGUUGGAUUAGCUGGCUGCCAUUAUGCAGCGCAUCUUGUGUGCCUCGGGUUAUGUUCUAUAUAAAAUGACGUGAAAUGUGAAAUUGGGCAAUACUUUUGAUAUACUUUUGUAACAUGGUGUAUCAUUCAUUUUUGGUUUGUGCAUAGUUCUAUUGGUGUACUGUCAAAUCUGGGGCUUCGUAUUUUCAUCCCGGCUUAUUGUAGUAUUACAAUCUGGCAUUUUAAGAGUUCUGGUUAGUUCUCAUAAUUCAUCCAGUAUAUGUUUGGUUUCAAAGCAAAUAAAUUGAAAGGACGUAUAAGAGAAGGUAUAAGGUGGAAUCUUGCAAGUAGUUGACCAAAUAUAUCUCACUUCGAGGAAUGCUUUUUGCUGAGAAUACCACUUUUUUUCCAAUACCCCAAUGAUUUCAUUCGCCGGUACCUUGACGACUUGGAUCAGGUUUUCUUCCAAAAAGGUACUUAGACAUGUCAUAAUAUAGUUGGUAGUUAGGAGAAGCAUUAAUCUUUUUGUUUCUUUAGCAAAUAGUUCUCAUGUUACAGGGUGCGUGGACAAACAGAUGCAAGGGGCAUUGUUUCAUACAACACCCACACCAAUGACCACGAGUGAAGCCAAGGGACUUGUGAACAACAUGAAAAACUUUCAUCCAUCUUUUGAUUAUACAGAAAUAUGCCUUUGAUGCAUCCGUGUUGGGACAAGCUUUUUUGGAUGGAGGGAGUAUAUGAACGUAAUUGACCACUAUCAAUUAGAAGUGCUCCUGGGUACAAUGCUCUAUAUUAUCAUGUCUUUAGUGCAUUUUAUUGUGGCACCUGUGUAUAUAGCUACUUGAAUUUUCUAAUUACGAACUCAAACAUUUGCAUUUUGUUC
This 918-nucleotide long non-coding RNA is filed under the name Triticum aestivum (bread wheat). RNAcentral's name for it is "long non-coding RNA (TAES_LNC007523)". The record is from RNAcentral. Lineage: Eukaryota; Viridiplantae; Streptophyta; Magnoliopsida; Poales; Poaceae.